Molecule: unclassified non-coding RNA, 377 nt
Filed under: uncultured Actinomycetes bacterium
Lineage: Bacteria; Bacillati; Actinomycetota; Actinomycetes
Description: uncultured actinobacterium contains 16S-23S intergenic spacer region
Source: RNAcentral
UCCGAGUUGACCCCGGCAGUCUCCUACGAGUCCCCGCCAUUACGCGCUGGCAACACAGGACAAGGGUUGCGCUCGUUGCGGGACUUAACCCAACAUCUCACGACACGUGCUGACGACAACCAUGCACCACCUGUGCAGGGCCCCGAAGGACACCGUAUCUCUACGGCUUUUCCCUGCAUGUCAAGCCCAGGUAAGGUUCUUCGCGUUGCAUCGAAUUAAAGAACAUGCUCCGCUGCUUGUGCGGGCCCCCGUCAAUUCUUUUGAGUUUUAGCCUUGCGGCCGUACUCCCCAGGCGGGGUGCUUAAUGCGUUAGCUGCGGCACGGAAGACGUCGAUAGCCUCCCACACCUAGCACCCAUCGUUUACGGCUGGGACUAC